This is a long non-coding RNA of Vespula pensylvanica (western yellowjacket), 270 nucleotides long. RefSeq lists it as uncharacterized. The transcript is spliced from 2 exons. Lineage: Eukaryota; Metazoa; Arthropoda; Insecta; Hymenoptera; Vespidae. The record is from RefSeq and is a predicted model, not a curated record.
GAAGUCUUCACAUUUAGAAAGAGAGAGUACUCUCAAAGUCAUUCAAAAGUUCGUUUUUGUUGACAUCGUUUAACUACCUUCACAGUAUAGAUGACGCCAUUCCCGUUCCAGUUUGCACCAGUCAGACACGAGACCGUAUCGUCCUCGUUAAUUACAGAUUUUCAAGAGUUCUACGAGUUAGAAUAGCAGAGCCCCGAGGUGUAUAAAGUCAGUGUUAGCGAAUAAUACAUCCGUCAAGUAAAUUAUUUUUUAAGGAUUUGUUCAAUAAUU